CUAAGACUCUUCUUCAAUCGCGUUCCCUUCCAUUUCAAAUCCGUCACUCGAAAACCAGGUUGCUCACGAAUUCUUCCUCCGACAAUCUGGAAGGUUUGGUUGACCCGGAUGACCUUUCUCUCUCAGGGCCAGAGUCAAUUUCCAGUGAAGAGUUCACUCUUCUGCGGGAUUCUUUAUUGAACCCUCCUUCUUCUUCUUCUUCUUCUCCUUCUUCCUCUUCUUCUUCUGCUGCUGGUAAGUUCUCAGAUGAAGCGUUGAUGGUUGU
This 265-nucleotide long non-coding RNA is filed under the name Linum usitatissimum (flax). Its description in RNAcentral is "long non-coding RNA (LUSI_LNC000689)". The record is from RNAcentral. Lineage: Eukaryota; Viridiplantae; Streptophyta; Magnoliopsida; Malpighiales; Linaceae.